UACGAAGGGGGCUAGCGUUGCUCGGAAUCACUGGGCGUAAAGCGCACGUAGGCGGACUCUUAAGUCAGGGGUGAAAUCCUGGAGCUCAACUCCAGAACUGCCUUUGAUACUGGGAGUCUUGAGUUCGGGAGAGGUGAGUGGAACUGCGAGUGUAGAGGUGAAAUUCGUAGAUAUUCGCAAGAACACCAGUGGCGAAGGCGGCUCACUGGGACGUUACUGACGCUGAGACGCGAAAGCGUGGGUAGCAAACAGG
Molecule: ribosomal RNA, 253 nt
Filed under: uncultured bacterium
Lineage: Bacteria
Description: partial 16S ribosomal RNA
Rfam family: Bacterial small subunit ribosomal RNA
Source: RNAcentral